This 68-nucleotide transfer RNA is filed under the name Marmota monax (woodchuck). RNAcentral describes it as "tRNA.Ser". The record is from RNAcentral. Lineage: Eukaryota; Metazoa; Chordata; Mammalia; Rodentia; Sciuridae.
GCUGUGGCUCAGUGGUAAAGUGCUUGCCUUGAAUGUGUGAGGCACUGGGUUCAAUCCUCAGCACAACA